RNAcentral lists this ribosomal RNA (658 nucleotides) under Danio rerio (zebrafish). Its description in RNAcentral is "Eukaryotic small subunit ribosomal RNA". It matches the Rfam family "Eukaryotic small subunit ribosomal RNA". The record is from Rfam by way of RNAcentral. Lineage: Eukaryota; Metazoa; Chordata; Actinopteri; Cypriniformes; Danionidae.
UACCUGGUUGAUCCUGCCAGUAAUAUAUGCUUGUCUCAAAAAUUAAGCCACGCAAGUGUAAGUGCACACAGCCGGUACAGUGAAACUGCGAAUGGCUCAUUAAAUGAGUUAUGGUCCCUCUAAUCGCUCCACCCAGUUACUUGGACAACUGUGGCAAUUCCAGAACUAAUAUAUGCCAACUGGCGCCAACCUGGGAAGCCUCAGAUCCAAAUCCCAUGCGGGUGUGUGGAUGGUGGAAGAGGGUUUGCGCCUUUCUGCUGCUGUCUGCCCCCGGCCUUGCUUUGGUGAGUCUAGAUAACCUUGGGCCCAUUGCCCACUGCUGGUUCUGGACCCCCAGUCCUCCAGGCACCCGCUGGAUGCCCUUGACUGGGUGUCCACAGCUGUCCACAGCAUUUACUUUGAAAAAAUUAGAGUGUUCAAAGCAGGGCUGGGACUGUGCUCCACUGAAUAGCCCAGCUAGGAAUAAUGGAAUAGGAACCCGGGUUCUAUUUUCUGUGGGUUCCUGGAACCUGAGGCCAUGAUCAAGAGGGAAAAUUCUUAGACCAGCACAUGAUGCACUGAAAUGAAAGCAUUUGCCAAGAACAUUUUCCAUGCCCUUUGUACACACCACCCAUCACUACUACUGAUUGAGCAGCUCAGUGAAGUCCUCGGAUCAGUU